This 474-nucleotide ribosomal RNA is filed under the name Paenarthrobacter nitroguajacolicus. Its description in RNAcentral is "bacterial SSU rRNA". It matches the Rfam family "Bacterial small subunit ribosomal RNA", at positions 1 to 495 of the family's 1533-position model. The record is from RNAcentral. Lineage: Bacteria; Bacillati; Actinomycetota; Actinomycetes; Micrococcales; Micrococcaceae.
UUUAGAGUUUGAUUCCAUGGCUCAGGAUGAACGCUGGCGGCGUGCUUAACACAUGCAAGUCGAACGAUGAUCCCAGCUUGCUGGGGGAUUAGUGGCGAACGGGUGAGUAACACGUGAGUAACCUGCCCUUGACUCUGGGAUAAGCCUGGGAAACUGGGUCUAAUACCGGAUACGACCAUCUGGCGCAUGUCAUGGUGGUGGAAAGCUUUUGUGGUUUUGGAUGGACUCGCGGCCUAUCAGCUUGUUGGUGGGGUAAUGGCCUACCAAGGCGACGACGGGUAGCCGGCCUGAGAGGGUGACCGGCCACACUGGGACUGAGACACGGCCCAGACUCCUACGGGAGGCAGCAGUGGGGAAUAUUGCACAAUGGGCGAAAGCCUGAUGCAGCGACGCCGCGUGAGGGAUGACGGCCUUCGGGUUGGAAACCUCUUUCAGUAGGGAAGAAGCGAAAAAACGGACCUGCUAAGAGCGCCG